RNAcentral lists this long non-coding RNA (236 nucleotides) under Manihot esculenta (cassava). Its description in RNAcentral is "long non-coding RNA (MESC_LNC009182)". Lineage: Eukaryota; Viridiplantae; Streptophyta; Magnoliopsida; Malpighiales; Euphorbiaceae. The record is from RNAcentral.
CCACAUCCUCUGACAUAUCCCCUUGCACUGUUCCCCUCACUGAUCUGCUUCUACCCAGAUCCAAAGACCUUCUAGGGUCUCUUACUGCUCUUUCUCUGUUGGACCUACUUGACAUUGCCCUAGGCAAUGCAGGAGGACGGGCAUCAGUGCCCUCGUCCUGGGGUGGUACUCCAGUCAAUCGUGCAGAUCGACGAGUUCCUCUCAUCCUGUUUUCUGAAAAACAGCACACAUCACAU